This 383-nucleotide long non-coding RNA is filed under the name Marmota monax (woodchuck). The record is from RNAcentral. Lineage: Eukaryota; Metazoa; Chordata; Mammalia; Rodentia; Sciuridae.
UGACAGGAAAGAAUUUCACACCAGUCAAAGGCAUAGAUGGAGGUUUAUUUAGGAAAGUGCUUACACAUUCAAGGAAGAAUGGGGACCAUCUCAAGUGCGAUGCCUCUGUGGGUAGAGCAAGGAAUCCGCAUGCAGGGGAGAACGCAGACCAUCUUGGGAGUGAGAGAUGCAUUUUGAGGAUUGCCAGCUCUUCUUUUAAAGGAAACUCGGUGAGGAAGAGCACGUGGGAACACUGCAGUCUGGUAAUCUCAGGACAGAUUCCGGUGGUCUGGUCGGUCUCCGAAUCCACAGGCUGAUGUGGUCUUCAUUAUCUGAUCAAUAGACAGUGCCUGAAAGUCCUCAGAAUUAUAGGCUUCUCAAGACAUGAUAGUUCUUUUUGAUUA